AGGACGAACGCUGGCGGCGUGCUUAACACAUGCAAGUCGAGCGGAAAGGCCCUUCGGGGUACUCGAGCGGCGAACGGGUGAGUAACACGUGAGCAACCUGCCCUUAGCUCUGGGAUAGCUCCGGGAAACCGGAAUUAAUACCGGAUAUGACCUAGGCCGACAUCGGCCGUGGUGGAAAGUUUUUCGGCUAGGGAUGGACUCGCGGCCUAUCAGCUAGUUGGUGGGGUAAUGGCCUACCAAGGCGACGACGGGUAGCCGGCCUGAGAGGGCGACCGGCCACACUGGGACUGAGACACGGCCCAGACUCCUACGGGAGGCAGCAGUGGGGAAUCUUGCGCAAUGGGCGAAAGCCUGACGCAGCGACGCCGCGUGGGGGAUGAAGGCCUUCGGGUUGUAACCCCGUUUCAGCAGGGACGAAGCGAAAGUGACGGUACCUGCAGAAGAAGCGCCGGCUAACUACGUGCCAGCAGCCGC
This 474-nucleotide ribosomal RNA is filed under the name uncultured bacterium. RNAcentral's name for it is "SSU rRNA". It matches the Rfam family "Bacterial small subunit ribosomal RNA", at positions 26 to 518 of the family's 1533-position model. The record is from RNAcentral.